GAGUGGCGAACGGGUGAGUAACACGUGGGUAAUCUGCCCUGCACUCUGGGAUAAGCCUUGGAAACGGGGUCUAAUACCGGAUAUCACAACUUCAGGCAUCUGGGGUUGUUGAAAGUUCUGGCGGUGCAGGAUGAACCCGCGGCCUAUCAGCUUGUUGGUGGGGUAAUGGCCUACCAAGGCGACGACGGGUAGCCGGCCUGAGAGGGUGACCGGCCACACUGGGACUGAGACACGGCCCAGACUCCUACGGGAGGCAGCAGUGGGGAAUAUUGCACAAUGGGCGAAAGCCUGAUGCAGCGACGCCGCGUGAGGGAUGACGGCCUUCGGGUUGUAAACCUCUUUCGCCAGGGACGAAGCGCAAGUGACGGUACCUGGAUAAGAAGCACCGGCUAACUACGUGCCAGCAGCCGNGGUAAUACGUAGGGUGCNGAGCGUUGUCCGGAAUUAUUGGGCGUAAAGAGCUCGUAGGCGGUUUGUCGCGUCGGCCGUGAAAUCUCCACC
RNAcentral lists this ribosomal RNA (501 nucleotides) under Amycolatopsis sp. 313H11. Its description in RNAcentral is "bacterial SSU rRNA". It matches the Rfam family "Bacterial small subunit ribosomal RNA", at positions 93 to 607 of the family's 1533-position model. The record is from RNAcentral. Lineage: Bacteria; Bacillati; Actinomycetota; Actinomycetes; Pseudonocardiales; Pseudonocardiaceae.